UACCCUGGUAGUCCACGCCGUAAACGAUGAGUGCUAAGUGUUAGGGGGUUUCCGCCCCUUAGUGCUGCAGCUAACGCAUUAAGCACUCCGCCUGGGGAGUACGACCGCAAGGUUGAAACUCAAAGGAAUUGACGGGGGCCCGCACAAGCGGUGGAGCAUGUGGUUUAAUUCGAAGCAACGCGAAGAACCUUACCAGGUCUUGACAUCCUUUGACCACUCUGGAGACAGAGCUUUCCCUUCGGGGACAAAGUGACAGGUGGUGCAUGGUUGUCGUCAGCUCGUGUCGUGAGAUGUUGGGUUAAGUCCCGCAACGAGCGCAACCCUUGAUUUUAGUUGCCAGCAUUUAGUUGGGCACUCUAAAGUGACUGCCGGUGCAAGCCGGAGGAAGGUGGGGAUGACGUCAAAUCAUCAUGCCCCUUAUGACCUGGGCUACACACGUGCUACAAUGGAUAGUACAAAGGGUCGCGAAGCCGCGAGGUGGAGCUAAUCCCAUAAAACUAUUCUCAGUUCGGAUUGUAGGCUGCAACUCGCCUACAUGAAGCCGGAAUCGCUAGUAAUCGUGGAUCAGCAUGCCACGGUGAAUACGUUCCCGGGCCUUGUACACACCGCCCGUCACACCACGAGAGUUUGUAACACCCGAAGUCGGUAGGGUAACCUUUAUGGAGCCAGCCGCCGAAGGUGGGACAGAUAAUUGGGGUGAAGUCGUAACAAGGUAGCCGUAUCGGAAGGUGCGGCUGGAUCACCUCCUUU
RNAcentral lists this ribosomal RNA (750 nucleotides) under Listeria monocytogenes. RNAcentral's name for it is "bacterial SSU rRNA". It matches the Rfam family "Bacterial small subunit ribosomal RNA", at positions 783 to 1533 of the family's 1533-position model. Lineage: Bacteria; Bacillati; Bacillota; Bacilli; Caryophanales; Listeriaceae. The record is from RNAcentral.